RNAcentral lists this ribosomal RNA (301 nucleotides) under uncultured bacterium. RNAcentral describes it as "partial 16S ribosomal RNA". It matches the Rfam family "Bacterial small subunit ribosomal RNA", at positions 509 to 809 of the family's 1533-position model. The record is from RNAcentral.
CAGUAGCCACGGGAAUACGGAGGGUGCAAGCGUUAAUCGGAAUUACUGGGCGUAAAGCGUGCGCAGGCGGUUCGUUAAGUCUGUUGUGAAAGCCCCGGGCUCAACCUGGGAAUGGCAAUGGAUACUGGCGAGCUAGAGUGUGUCAGAGGAUGGUGGAAUUCCCGGUGUAGCGGUGAAAUGCGUAGAGAUCGGGAGGAACAUUAGUGGCGAAGGCGGCCAUCUGGGACAACACUGACGCUGAGGCACGAAAGCGUGGGGAGCAAACAGGAUUAGAUACCCGAGUAGUCCCUGUCUCUUAUAA